RNAcentral lists this ribosomal RNA (498 nucleotides) under uncultured bacterium. RNAcentral's name for it is "bacterial SSU rRNA". It matches the Rfam family "Bacterial small subunit ribosomal RNA", at positions 984 to 1483 of the family's 1533-position model. The record is from RNAcentral.
ACAUCCUUCUGAAAGGCCCGUAACGGGGCCCGGCCUUCGGGACAGAAGAGACAGGUGGUGCAUGGUUGUCGUCAGCUCGUGUCGUGAGAUGUUGGGUUAAGUCCCGCAACGAGCGCAACCCCUAUCCCCAGUAGCCAGCAGUAAGAUGGGCACUCUGUGGAGACUGCCAGGGAGAACCUGGAGGAAGGCGGGGAUGACGUCAAAUCAUCAUGCCCCUUAUGAUUUGGGCUACACACGUGCUACAAUGGCGUAAACAGAGGGAGGCGAAGGAGCGAUCCGGAGCAAACCCCAGAAAUAACGUCCCAGUUCGGAUUGCAGGCUGCAACCCGCCUGCAUGAAGCUGGAAUCGCUAGUAAUCGCGGAUCAGAAUGCCGCGGUGAAUACGUUCCCGGGUCUUGUACACACCGCCCGUCACACCAUGGGAGUCGGUAACGCCCGAAGUCAGUGACCCAACCGAGAGGAGGGAGCUGCCGAAGGCGGGACUGGUAACUGGGGUGA